UACGAAGGGGGCUAGCGUUGCUCGGAAUCACUGGGCGUAAAGGGUGCGUAGGCGGGCCUUUAAGUCAGGGGUGAAAUCCUGGAGCUCAACUCCAGAACUGCCUUUGAUACUGAGGAUCUUGAGUUCGGGAGAGGUGAGUGGAACUGCGAGUGUAGAGGUGAAAUUCGUAGAUAUUCGCAAGGACACCAGUGGCGAAGGCGGCUCACUGGCCCGGUACUGACGCUGAGGUGCGAAAGCGUGGGGAGCAAACAGG
RNAcentral lists this ribosomal RNA (253 nucleotides) under uncultured bacterium. RNAcentral describes it as "partial 16S ribosomal RNA". It matches the Rfam family "Bacterial small subunit ribosomal RNA", at positions 524 to 776 of the family's 1533-position model. The record is from RNAcentral.